Molecule: ribosomal RNA, 253 nt
Filed under: uncultured bacterium
Lineage: Bacteria
Description: partial 16S ribosomal RNA
Rfam family: Bacterial small subunit ribosomal RNA
Source: RNAcentral
UACAGAGGCCCCAAGCGUUACUGAGAAUCACUGGGUUUAAAGGGUGCGUAGGUGGCGCGUUAAGUCCGUUGUGAAAUCCCUUGGCUCAACCAAGGAAUGGCUUCGGAUACUGGCGUGCUUGAGGCUGGUAAGGGUCACUGGAACUGACGGUGGAGCGGUGAAAUGCGUAGAUAUCGGAAGGAACAUCAGUGGCGAAGGCGACUUCCUGGACCAAUACUGACGCUCAGGUGCGAAAGCGUGGGGAGCAAACAGG